AGUUCUCAUGAGCAUGAGAGAAUAAGCAAUGCAUGCUCACGCAGGUUCCAAGGAACCGAGUACCUCUGAGGAGCACCAGAUUUCAUCUUAUGGGAUGCUUUGAUUACUCUGUGAUUGCAUUUAGGAGAGGGAAGCUGUAGUCAUGUGUCAUCACUGCCAGCCUCACAUCUCUUGAUAUGGUUAAAGCCUUAGGGUGGAGCAAGAGAAAAUUUAAAAUAACAAACAAAGCAAAAGCAAGAGGUGACAUUCCAAAGCAGAGGAAGGCUAAUUUUAUAUGUACAAAUGUCAAGUGUGUAUGGUGCAAAACUAGGACCAACUGGUGAAAUUAUGGUCAAAAGCAAAAGCCUUCCUUUUUUUUUUU
Molecule: long non-coding RNA, 361 nt
Organism: Cebus imitator (Panamanian white-faced capuchin)
Lineage: Eukaryota; Metazoa; Chordata; Mammalia; Primates; Cebidae
Exons: 3
Source: RefSeq, a predicted model, not a curated record